CUAUUAUGAGGUCAGGGUCAUUUAUAAGAAAAGUACUGGUUUCAUGUAAGCAUCUCAAACCUGUCUUUUCUCAAGAUGUAGGUAUCUGUGUGACGGAGUGCCGUGUAGACCAGGACUGUGGGGAAGGAAGACUAUGCAUCAGUAAUGGGUGUGGCCGUGUCUGCUUCCCAGGGCGAAGAGAGGCCUGCGAGCACCAGUGCAGAGAAGACAGGGACUGUGGGAGUGGACAUCAGUGCGUGAGGAAGGGCUGUGGGCACGUCUGCGCCCCCGUCCAUCAAGUCGAUGUAGGUAUCUGUGUGACGGAGUGCCGUGUAGACCAGGACUGUGGGGAAGGAAGACUAUGCAUCAGUAAUGGGUGUGGCCGUGUCUGCUUCCCAGGGCGAAGAGAGGGCUGCGAGCACCAGUGCAGAGAAGACAGGGACUGUGGGAGUGGACAUCAGUGCGUGAGGAAGGGCUGUGGGCACGUCUGCGCCCCCGUCCAUCAAGUCGGUAUCUGUGUGACGGAGUGCAACGUAGACCAGGACUGUGGGGAAGGAAGACAAUGCACCAGCAAUGGAUGUGGCCGGGUCUGCUCCCCAGUCCGGCGAGAAGAUGUAGGUAUCUGUGUGACGGAGUGCAAGGUAGACCAGGACUGUGGGGAAGGAAGACGAUGCACCAGCAAUGGGUGUGGCCGUGUCUGCUCCCCAGUCCAGCAAAAAGAGGCCUGCGAGCACCAAUGCAGAGAAGACAAGGACUGUGGGAGUGGACAUCAGUGCGUGAGGAAGGGCUGUGGGCACGUCUGCUCCCCCAUCCCUCAAGUAGGUAUCUGUGUGACGGAGUGCAAUGUAGACCAGGACUGUGGGGCAGGAAGACGAUGCACCAGCAAUGGAUGUGGCCGGGUCUGCUCCCCACCCCAGGGAGGAGGACUCUGUGUGGACCGCUGCCGAGGAAACUGGGACUGUGGGGCCGGAGAAGAAUGUAUCAGGAAGGGAUGUGGACGGGUCUGCUCUCCAGCCCAGGAGCCAGGUAAGAGCCCUGCCUAGGUCUCCAACCCCACACAACCCAGGAGGGGACUGUGUGCUUACCUCUGCCUGGACUCCCCUUCCUUAGAGGGUUAAUUCCCA
This 1103-nucleotide long non-coding RNA is filed under the name Sus scrofa (pig). RNAcentral's name for it is "lncRNA (ENSSSCG00065071021.1)". Lineage: Eukaryota; Metazoa; Chordata; Mammalia; Artiodactyla; Suidae. The record is from RNAcentral.